AACCUCCGCAAUGUGAGAAAUCGCGACGGAGGGAUCCCAAGUGCCAUUCUUAACGGGAUGGCUUUUCAUUAGUGUAAAGAGCUUUUGGAAUAAGGGCUGGGCAAGACCGGUGCCAGCCGCCGCGGUAACACCGGCAGCUCUAGUGGUAGCAGUUUUUAUUGGGCCUAAAGCGUCCGUAGCCGGUUUAAUAAGUCUCUGGUGAAAUCCUGUAGCUUAACUGUGGGAAUUGCUGGAGAUACUAUUAGACUUGAGACCGGGAGAGGUUAGAGGUACUCCCAGGGUAGAGGUGAAAUUCUGUAAUCCUGGGAGGACCGCCUGUUGCGAAGGCGUCUAACUGGAACGGUUCUGACGGUGAGGGACGAAAGUUAGGGGCGCGAACCGGAUUAGAUACCCGGGUAGUCCUAACUGUAAACGAUGCGGACUUGGUGUUGGGGUGGCUUUGAGCUGCUCCAGUGCCGAAGGGAAGCUGUUAAGUCCGCCGCCUGGGAAGUACGGUCGCAAGACUGAAACUUAAAGGAAUU
RNAcentral lists this ribosomal RNA (521 nucleotides) under uncultured bacterium. RNAcentral's name for it is "bacterial SSU rRNA". It matches the Rfam family "Archaeal small subunit ribosomal RNA", at positions 345 to 866 of the family's 1478-position model. The record is from RNAcentral.